Molecule: small nuclear RNA, 101 nt
Organism: Neltuma alba
Lineage: Eukaryota; Viridiplantae; Streptophyta; Magnoliopsida; Fabales; Fabaceae
Source: RefSeq, a predicted model, not a curated record
GUUCCUUUGGGACAUCCGAUAAAAUUGAAACAACACGGAAAAGAUUAGCAGGAUGGCUGUGCAAGGAUCACACACACAAAAGCAAAAUUGCACAUGAAAAA